Molecule: ribosomal RNA, 238 nt
Filed under: uncultured bacterium
Lineage: Bacteria
Description: partial 16S ribosomal RNA
Rfam family: Bacterial small subunit ribosomal RNA
Source: RNAcentral
UGGUCUUGACAUAUCUAGAAUCCUGCAGAGAUGCGGGAGUGCCUUCGGGAAUUAGAAUACAGGUGCUGCAUGGCUGUCGUCAGCUCGUGUCGUGAGAUGUUGGGUUAAGUCCCGCAACGAGCGCAACCCUUGUCCUUAGUUACCAGCGGGUUAAGCCGGGAACUCUAAGGAUACUGCCAGUGACAAACUGGAGGAAGGCGGGGACGACGUCAAGUCAUCAUGGCCCUUACGACCAGGG